Molecule: ribosomal RNA, 243 nt
Filed under: Verrucaria praetermissa
Lineage: Eukaryota; Fungi; Ascomycota; Eurotiomycetes; Verrucariales; Verrucariaceae
Description: partial 18S small subunit ribosomal RNA
Source: RNAcentral
AAGAUCCUUCUUUGAAGCCUUCCACACAGCGACUCUAACCGUGUGUGCAGUCUAGAAAUAGGCGACGUUACCCCUGUGCUGGAACACUACUUAACGGUGGUGGAUCAGCAGCCAGUUUGUCCUGGUCCACAGAUUAGGUGGUGGCGGUCCCCGGGGAUGCCCGUGGGAUGAAGAUAUAAUCGGUCCCCAUCGCUGUCGAUGGUGGAGCCACGUUCCGUAGGUGAACCUGCGGAAGGAUCAUUA